RNAcentral lists this ribosomal RNA (706 nucleotides) under uncultured bacterium. Its description in RNAcentral is "bacterial SSU rRNA". It matches the Rfam family "Bacterial small subunit ribosomal RNA", at positions 59 to 753 of the family's 1533-position model. The record is from RNAcentral.
CAGUCGAGGGGCAGCAUGGACCCAGCUUUGCUGGGUUUGAUGGCGACCGGCGCACGGGUGAGUAACGCGUAUCCAACCUGCCCUUUACUCCGGGAUAGUCUCCUGAAAGGGAGUUUAAUACCGGAUGUGUUUGUCUUUCCGCAUGGGAGCGACAAAUAAAGAUUAAUUGGUAAAGGAUGGGGAUGCGUCCCAUUAGCUAGUUGGCGGGGUAACGGCCCACCAAGGCGACGAUGGGUAGGGGUUCUGAGAGGAAGGUCCCCCACAUUGGAACUGAGACACGGUCCAAACUCCUACGGGAGGCAGCAGUGAGGAAUAUUGGUCAAUGGGCGGGAGCCUGAACCAGCCAAGUAGCGUGAAGGACGACGGCCCUACGGGUUGUAAACUUCUUUUAUAAGGGAAUAAAGUGCGUUACGUGUAAUGUUUUGUAUGUACCUUAUGAAUAAGCAUCGGCUAAUUCCGUGCCAGCAGCCGCGGUAAUACGGAAGAUGCGAGCGUUAUCCGGAUUUAUUGGGUUUAAAGGGAGCGUAGGCGGGCUUUUAAGUCAGCGGUCAAAUGUCACGGCUCAACCGUGGCCAGCCGUUGAAACUGCAAGCCUUGAGUCUGCACAGGGCACAUGGAAUUCGUGGUGUAGCGGUGAAAUGCUUAGAUAUCACGAAGAACUCCGAUCGCGAAGGCAUUGUGCCGGGGCAGCACUGACGCUGAGGCU